This 586-nucleotide ribosomal RNA is filed under the name uncultured bacterium. RNAcentral describes it as "bacterial SSU rRNA". It matches the Rfam family "Bacterial small subunit ribosomal RNA", at positions 202 to 807 of the family's 1533-position model. The record is from RNAcentral.
AAAAACUCCGGUGGUAUGAGAUGGACCCGCGUCUGAUUAGCUAGUUGGUGAGGUAACGGCCCACCAAGGCGACGAUCAGUAGCCGGCCUGAGAGGGCGACCGGCCACAUUGGGACUGAGACACGGCCCAAACUCCUACGGGAGGCAGCAGUGGGGAAUAUUGCACAAUGGGGGAAACCCUGAUGCAGCGACGCCGCGUGAGUGAAGAAGUAUUUCGGUAUGUAAAGCUCUAUCAGCAGGGAAGAAGAAAGACGGUACCUGACUAAGAAGCCCCGGCUAACUACGUGCCAGCAGCCGCGGUAAUACGUAGGGGGCAAGCGUUAUCCGGAUUUACUGGGUGUAAAGGGAGCGUAGACGGCUGUGCAAGUCUGAAGUGAAAGCCCAGGGCUCAACCCUGGGACUGCUUUGGAAACUGUGGAGCUAGAGUGCUGGAGAGGUAAGUGGAAUUCCUAGUGUAGCGGUGAAAUGCGUAGAUAUUAGGAGGAACACCAGUGGCGAAGGCGGCUUACUGGACAGUAACUGACGUUGAGGCUCGAAAGCGUGGGGAGCAAACAGGAUUAGAUACCCUGGUAGUCCACGCGGUAAAC